AGAGUUUGAUCCUGGCUCAGGAUGAACGCUGGCGGCGUGCUUAACACAUGCAAGUCGAACGAUGAUCCCAGCUUGCUGGGGGAUUAGUGGCGAACGGGUGAGUAACACGUGAGUAACCUGCCCUUAACUCUGGGAUAAGCCUGGGAAACUGGGUCUAAUACCGGAUAUGACUCCUCAUCGCAUGGUGGGGGGUGGAAAGCUUUAUUGUGGUUUUGGAUGGACUCGCGGCCUAUCAGCUUGUUGGUGAGGUAAUGGCUCACCAAGGCGACGACGGGUAGCCGGCCUGAGAGGGUGACCGGCCACACUGGGACUGAGACACGGCCCAGACUCCUACGGGAGGCAGCAGUGGGGAAUAUUGCACAAUGGGCGAAAGCCUGAUGCAGCGACGCCGCGUGAGGGAUGACGGCCUUCGGGUUGUAAACCUCUUUCAGUAGGGAAGAAGCGAAAGUGACGGUACCUGCAGAAGAAGCGCCGGCUAACUACGUGCCAGCAGCCGCGGUAAUACGUAGGGCGCAAGCGUUAUCCGGAAUUAUUGGGCGUAAAGAGCUCGUAGGCGGUUUGUCGCGUCUGCCCGUGAAAGUCCGGGGCUCAACUCCGGAUCUGCGGUGGGUACGGGCAGACUAGAGUGAUGUAGGGGAGACUGGAAUUCCUGGUGUAGCGGUGAAAUGCGCAGAUAUCAGGAGGAACACCGAUGGCGAAGGCAGGUCUCUGGGCAUUAACUGACGCUGAGGAGCGAAAGCAUGGGGAGCGAACAGGAUUAGAUACCCUGGUAGUCCAUGCCGUAAACGUUGGGCACUAGG
Molecule: ribosomal RNA, 800 nt
Filed under: uncultured bacterium
Lineage: Bacteria
Description: bacterial SSU rRNA
Rfam family: Bacterial small subunit ribosomal RNA
Source: RNAcentral